GUGGCUAUAGUUUAGUGGUAGAACGUGCGGCUGUGGCCCGCAUGACCCGGGUUCGAUCCCCGGUAGCCGCC
RNAcentral lists this transfer RNA (71 nucleotides) under Candidatus Woesearchaeota archaeon. Its description in RNAcentral is "tRNA-His". It matches the Rfam family "tRNA". From Rfam's summary of the family: Transfer RNA (tRNA) molecules are approximately 80 nucleotides in length. Their secondary structure includes four short double-helical elements and three loops (D, anti-codon, and T loops). The record is from RNAcentral. Lineage: Archaea; Nanobdellati; Candidatus Woesearchaeota.